UUGACAUCCAGCGAACUUGGCAGAGAUGCCUUGGUGCCUUCGGGAACGCUGAGACAGGUGCUGCAUGGCUGUCGUCAGCUCGUGUUGUGAAAUGUUGGGUUAAGUCCGCAACGAGCGCAACCCUUAUCCUUUGUUGCCAGCGAUUCGGUCGGGAACUCAAAGGAGACUGCCGGUGAUAAACCGGAGGAAGGUGGGGAUGACGUCAAGUCAUCAUGGCCCUUACGAGUAGGGCUACACACGUGCUACAAUGGCGCAUACAAAGAGAAGCGACCUCGCGAGAGCAAGCGGACCUCAUAAGGUGCGUCGUAGUCCGGAUCGGAGUCUGCAACUCGACUCCGUGAAGUCGGAAUCGCUAGUAAUCGUGGAUCAGAAUGCCACGGUGAAUACGUUCCCGGGCCUUGUACACACCGCCCGUCACACCAUGGGAGUGGGUUGCAAAAGAAGUAGGUAGCUUAACCCUCGGGAGGGCGUUUACCACUUUGUGAUUCAUGACUGGGGUGAAGUCGUAACAAGGUAAGCGUAGCGAG
Molecule: ribosomal RNA, 527 nt
Filed under: uncultured bacterium
Lineage: Bacteria
Description: bacterial SSU rRNA
Rfam family: Bacterial small subunit ribosomal RNA
Source: RNAcentral